UCUUUCUGAAAUCUGUUAAAAUCAAUUGAUUGCUCCUACAUGUGCAAUGUUCUACAUCUGCUACUAUGCUUCACAACUUAAGAUGAUUAGAAAAUGAGAUGGAGUACUUAUCAUGGGUACAUACAAAUCACCUGAAGUUGUGAGUGAAUAGAGAUCUCAGAUUGAAUCACCUGUUUACAGUAAAGAGAGAUCUGAAUUUGAUUUUGGAACUUUGUUUCUGUAAAAAUCAAACUUGAAGUUUAUGAGUGAAGAGAAAUCUCUGAUU
Long non-coding RNA from Papaver somniferum (opium poppy), 265 nucleotides. RefSeq lists it as uncharacterized. NCBI's taxonomy places the organism in Eukaryota, Viridiplantae, Streptophyta, Magnoliopsida, Ranunculales, Papaveraceae. The transcript has 2 exons. The record is from RefSeq and is a predicted model, not a curated record.